AUAAUUGACAACAAGGUGGAAUUUAUUUCAAGACAUUGGUACAUUUUAUAUUACACAUGCAUGUAUAUGUGUCUAUGUUUUAUUUGUGUGUGUGUGUGUGCAAAAGUAAUGUGUGUGUAUCAGUUUUGUGUGUGCAUGUUUCCCAGCUCCAAACAUCAAUAACAUAAUAACAAAACUAAAACAUUUGUUUGCAAGGGGUUAAAGGUUAUACCAAUCAAAUAACAAGAUUGUACCAGAAACAAAAUGAAAGAAAAAACUGACAAUCUUUUCCUACUGUAGAACAAAGAUUAGAAAAAAAAAAAUGCAUACAAAUAUUUAAAAAAUGAAUCAGGAAAUAAAAGUAGAUAUUUUAUUUCAUACAAAAAAUGAUCCUCUAUUAUUACACAUUAUUUACAUUCAUAGAUUUAUAACUAGUUUUAUUUUAUUUUUUAAAUUAUGCAAUUUUGA
Non-coding RNA from Biomphalaria pfeifferi, 447 nucleotides. The record is from the annotation of a GenBank genome assembly. NCBI's taxonomy places the organism in Eukaryota, Metazoa, Mollusca, Gastropoda, Planorbidae.